GAAGUGAAAGGACUGAUUUAUGGGGGUUCCCUCAGAUGUUACGCAGCUGGGGAGCACCACAAAAGCCCUAUGUGGUGUUGAUGUCUGUGUUGGUGUUUGGAAGAAAACCUAAUUAAUCUUGACUAGAAAACUCACCCAAAUACAGCGAUUUUUGAUGGCAUGCUUUUCGAUGGAUUCAGCUAUAUUGAAGCAUGGGGGAAUCCAUAGCCAAUAAAUUAACAAUGCACCAAAUGUGGGAAACCAGCCCAGUUUUGGCCACAGUAACUCUGUGCCUUUGAUAUUGUCACUCUGCCAUGGGAAUGCUGAACUAAUUAGUCUAGCAGCCCCCACAUCUACAGGUACUUGGAAAAUAUCUAAUUGCUUAGAUACUUUUUUUCCUUCUAACAGUGAACAUCCAUGUGUUUUUUCCAGAGCAGCACAACUGGUCUAUACGGAACAUAUGGGGAAGCCAAGCGGGCAAUUGUCUGUGCUGUUUAUUUUUGUUUGCCGGCACUGGAAAACAUCUCUGACCACACACUGAUUGCAUCACUGAAGGCAAAUAUUAGGAUUGGUGAACAAGGAUUAGGUCUCAUACAGAAUGGGCCCUAUCUCCAGAUAACAAGCCUUGUGGAGCUCUGCAGCUAAUGAUGGAAAGCUAAAACCAGCCCAAGUGAAGAUGCUGAGGAUGAAGAUGACACCUGGUCCUGCAGCAAUGAUGAUGUGGCCUUGGAAACUUUUCAGUACAGAUCUUCCCAGUCAUACUGUUGUGAGUUCACUCAUAAUUUACCAUCAACAUCCAAAAUUUGAUGGGCAUCUGAUACAGGCCAGACACUUGGAGCAGGCACAGACACUGUUUGCAAUGCUGUACUUCAUAAUGAUGUUGAUGCACUGUGCAGUCCUAAGUUUGAUGCUGGUGGUGUUAGACCUCCUUCAUACUGCAUGGUGGAAAACAACGAGACCAGUUCCUCUUCCCCAUACCCUUCUGUAUCAGAUACAUCCUACCUGGAAGAAUUUGCCUUUGUUUCAGAAUAGCUCAAAACUUGACUUCUUCAAAACCCAGAUUUAAGUUGUAUCUUGUCCGUUUCAAUACAUGCCUAGACUUCAAAAAAGAUCUAAGUGUCCUAAGAUAUUUGCAAUUAUAUAUUAGCUAUAUAAAGCUGUUUUAGCAAUACCCUCCCCUCAAAGAUGCCUAUCAAUGUUACUCGUGGAGAAGACAUUCAGAAACACUACCUCUGCUAGUCCCAGACAUGCAGCAGUUGUAGGCUCCGAGGUCUAAUAUAUUAAUCUUUCUCUGAAGGUAAAUUUCUUCAUUUACUUGAUACAGGAUGGUACACACAGUUUAUCAAGAACUCUUCCUGAAUACAUGGACAACUAGUGGUGAUUGCAGUAUUUGUCUGCACCACAAUAACCAUUUCUGAUACAUCUAUUUUUUACAUCAACUAAAAUUCACCUUAUUUUCUUACUGCAGUUUUACUU
This is a non-coding RNA of Phalacrocorax carbo (great cormorant), 1455 nucleotides long. The record is from RefSeq and is a predicted model, not a curated record. Lineage: Eukaryota; Metazoa; Chordata; Aves; Suliformes; Phalacrocoracidae.